Molecule: ribosomal RNA, 437 nt
Filed under: uncultured bacterium
Lineage: Bacteria
Description: bacterial SSU rRNA
Rfam family: Bacterial small subunit ribosomal RNA
Source: RNAcentral
AGAGUUUGAUCCUGGCUCAGAAUCAACGCUGGCGGCGUGCCUAACACAUGCAAGUCGAACGAGAAAGGGGAGCAAUCCCUGAGUACAGUGGCGCACGGGUGAGUAACACGUGACUAACCUACCCUGGAGCGGGGAAUAACUGAGGGAAACCUUAGCUAAUACCGCAUAAUACCUACGGGUCAAAGGAGCAAUUCGCUUCAGGAGGGGGUCGCGGCCGAUUAGCUAGUUGGCGGGGUAAUGGCCCACCAAGGCAAUGAUCGGUAUCCGGCCUGAGAGGGCGCACGGACACACUGGAACUGAAACACGGUCCAGACUCCUACGGGAGGCAGCAGUGGGGAAUUUUGCGCAAUGGGGGAAACCCUGACGCAGCAACGCCGCGUGGAGGAUGAUAUCCCUUGGGAUGUAAACUCCUUUCGAUCGGGACGAUGAUGACGGUA